This 7158-nucleotide long non-coding RNA is filed under the name Elaeis guineensis (African oil palm). Its description in RNAcentral is "long non-coding RNA (EGUI_LNC003832)". The record is from RNAcentral. Lineage: Eukaryota; Viridiplantae; Streptophyta; Magnoliopsida; Arecales; Arecaceae.
GGGUGUCUGGCUUAUGUUAAAUGAUUACAAACUGACAAGCUCAGCUUUAGGUCUGAUAAAUAUAAUUUUAUAGGGUACUCCAAGAAAAUGAGGAGAUAUUACUUUUACCUGCCUGCUAAACAAAAGAUAUUUGUCAGCCGUAAGGCACAUUUUUUAGAAAAAAAAUUUCUUAAUGAAGGAAUAAGUGCCUCUAAAAUCGAGCUUGACAAAGUUUGACAGAUAGAAAAACUGACACUAAUGAUUGAAUCUGAAUCGAAUUUGAUGAGAUCAAAUUCAGAGCCCAAUGAACAAACAUCUUUAAGGUGAUCCGAUAGACUACCAUGUCAGUUGGACAGAUACUUUGAUUUUCUGAUCUGGGAUGGAGAUCCUGUUGAACUCAAUGAGAAUGAUGAGGAUUCGAUCACUUAUAUAGAUACGAUGCAAAGGUCUAACUCUGAUAAAUGACUUAAAGCCAUGAGAUCUGAGAUGGAGUCCAUGAAGAUCGAUGAUGUAUGGACAUUAGUUGACCCACCUGAAGGGGUUAAACCCAUAGGGUGUAAAUGGGUCUUCAAAAGGAAGAGGGGUGUGAAUGAGAAGAUGGAGAUNNNNNNNNNNNNNNNNNNNNNNNNNNNNNNNNNNNNNNNNNNNNNNNNNNNNNNNNNNNNNNNNNNNNNNNNNNNNNNNNNNNNNNNNNNNNNNNNNNNNNNNNNNNNNNNNNNNNNNNNNNNNNNNNNNNNNAAACCCAUAGGGUGUAAAUGGGUCUUCAAAAGGAAGAGGGGUGUGAAUGAGAAGAUGGAGAUCUAUAAAGUCCGUUUGGUUGUCAAAGAUUAUCGUCAGCAUUAUGGUAUUGACUAUGACAAGAUAUUUCUUCUGUGGCAAUGCUCAAAUCCAUUCAGAUCAUACUUGCGAUAGCAGUAUAUCUAGACUAUGAAGCCUGGCAAAUGAAUGUGAAGACAGCUUUCUUAAAUAGAGAGCUGAAUGAAGAGGUGUGUAUGAUACAGCCUGAGGGUUUCACAUCUACAGAUGAGUCCAAGGUGUGCAAGCUUCAGAGAUCCAUUUAUAGAUUGAAGCAAGCAUCUCAAAGUCGGAACAUACAUUUUGGUAAGGUGAUUAGUGUUAGAUGUUUGUCCUAGAAGUCAAUAUGGCUACACAUUAUAAUAAUUCUAGGACACAAUUUUAUACUUAAUAUAUUGAUAUGAUCAAUAAAAGAGCAAUUUCUUUUUCAUUCAAGUGUGAUGUGUCCUUGAAUCAUCCAUGAAAUUAGUUUCGAUACAUAUUAUCAUGGUGUUAAAAAUCAGAGACAUGUAUUUACUUCCUAAAUACUCCCGAUUAUAGAAUCAUCAUGAGGAUGGUGAUUGAUCCGGAUAGAUUAGCGUAUAAAUUGCUUUUUUUGAGAUAGAUGAGUCUCUGAUCUACUGUGUAGAGAUACAGAAUAAUAAGUGUGGUAGUUGUUAGAGAACCACUAGUAUUAAACGUGACCAUACGAGAGAUCAUUUGGAUUUUUAUUCGAUCGUCAGUGAUUGUCUCGAUGCUAUAGUUGUGUGACUGGUCUUUUGACUUGAGAUGAAUUUAAAAAGUUAAAAUAUAUUAUUAUCGAUUAAAUUAGAAUUGACAGUUAAAUCCUAAGUCACUUUGAGUAUUUGGAUCAAAGGGAUAAAUUAUAUGAUAACCAUAUACCAAUAGGUUCUAGAAGAUUGCUUUGCAAUACUUCGACCUAUCCAAUCGUCGGAUCACUAUUGCUAGAUGGUUACAUCAAUUGGUAUAGAAAGUUAUUCCUAUGCUACUGACUUAGGUUUGAACCUAUGGGAUCACAUGCAUUAGAAGAUUUGAUCAGAUCUGAUGGUUGAAGAGUCCAAUUGGAUUGUGACUCUGGUGAAGAGUCCUACUCAGAUUAAGACUCGAUGGAAGAGUCCCACUGAGAUUGAGACUCUACUAUUAAUAAAAAAUUAAAUAGUAAUUAGAUUAUUAAUUGACUCAAUUUUAUUGAGCAAAGAGCUUGGGAUCAAGUCUAAUUGAAUUAGAUUCAAUUCGACUCUAAUUGGGUUUGAUAUGAUCGAGUCCGAUUAUAAGGAAAAUUUGAUCCUGAUUCGAUCAGAAUUUUGACUUGACUAAUUUCUAAUUGGGUUAGAAAUUUGAUGAGAUAUCAAGAUUUUUAAUUAGAUUAGGUUCAUUUCUAUCAGUGGGGUCAAUCCAAAUUUGAUUUGAAUUAGAAUCAGAAUUGAAAAUGAAGAGUCCUUAUCAACUUGGACUCUAUCCUUAUCUCUUGCACCACUCCUGAACCCAUGCCAAUUUCUCCAUGCCUAAUUAGAUCUGAGUUGUGAUUUUUGGUAUCAUGAUAGAAGGUCUAAUAAGAGUGGACAGUAAUAUUUGAUGUGUCAUAAUCUUAUCUCCUGCCUAAUUCGAAUGCAAUCCGAAUUAGAGAUAAGAUGUAAACUAGAAAAGAGAUUUUUCAUACAUAAAAUAUUGUUAGUGUCAUAUUAUUUUUUUAUUUUUUUUGGAGAAUUCUUUGAUGUGUGAGACUUUAGAAUCCUUCUCCAUAUCCUAAUAAUUUUUUAAAAUUUUUUGAGAUGCCAAAAGGUAGUUUUGGCAUGGACUAUUGGCACCCUUUCUUAGAAAAACCCUAAUUCCUAGUCUAUAAAAAGGAGUCCUCUCUCUUGGACGUCCCAUGAUCAAUUCUCUUACUAUUUUUUAAUUUUUUAGAGCUCUUCUCCUCCUCUACUCUUCUUUAUCUAGAUCUCUUAUUGCUUUAGAGUGUCCAAGGUGCUUGAAAAAGAAGAAAAAGAUCAGCUGUUGAAGUUGCUUGCAGGCUAGCACCUUCAAGCCCCUGAUCUAUGCCAGUCUUUGCGUGGAUUUUUUUAUAGAGGCUAGAUGACUUUGUAUGGCUGUGAGUGACUUGAGGAAUACCUUCUUCAAUUGUUAGACCAAAGAUAAUUAACAUCAAAUUGAUUUGGUAUUAAUCUCUAACUUAUUUUGAUCAUACCGAUAGAUCUAAUAGUUAGAUCUAGGAUUUCAGUAUCGAUGAGAUCGAUGUGUAUUUUUAUUUUUUAGAUCUAAAGUGUAUAUUUUUCAUAUUAUAGAUUAUGAUAUGGUAGUCUAAGAUUAGAUUUUAUAUAUAUGAUUAUGAUUAAAUUGUUUAAUCUUUUAUUUUUACUGCAUAAAAUUUUUAAAAUCGUAUGUACUACACUACCGCAUAUUUCUUUCAAUUGAUAUCAGAGCAUGGUUGUUUUGAUAUGAAUUAAUAUGAUUUUAGAUCUAAAUUUUUGAUGUUAUGUCUGAUUAUUUAUAAUUUAGAUUAGAUCUAAAUAAGUUUAUUUUCAUAUCUGAUUAUCUUCUGUUUAGAUUAGAUAAUCUAAGUAGCAAAGUACUUGGAUUGGAUAAUCACCAGGCCAUCCAAUCAUAGGAGCAAGUAGGGUUUCAUGACCCUCUCUUUCCAUUCAAUGGAGUGCUCUUCAUGGCAUGUAGGGGUGCCACUAUGAGGUCCCAUGAAGAAGAAAGCAAAAGAAGAAAGCUUACUUUCUUGCAAGACCCUAGAUCUUGAAACCCUAGGUGUUGUUAUAUGCGAUGCAAGUUGCGAAGAAGUUAGUUACAUCUAAUCUUAUUUAAUCAAAAUUAUUUUAAUUUAAAAUCAUAAAAAAUUAGAUUUGAUCUAAAAGAUUUUAUGAUUUAAUAUAAAAAAUUUACAUAAAAAAAAUUAUUUUAAAAAUUUUAACCAUGUUGAUGCAAAAUUUAAUUGAGAAUUAAGUGUCAAAUUGAUUGGAUCUAGAAUUAUAAUUUGAGAUCUAAUGACGUUGUAUAAAAUAUGGGGAAUGGGUUAGUUCAAAUCAGGUCCUUCUCUUUAAUUGGAUUAGACCUAAGGUUAGAAUCAAAGAAUUGAUUGACCAUGUAGAGUAAUUGAUUAAAUCUAACCAAGUGUUAAAUUAGAUUAAUUAAGAUUUCUCUAAUACAAUAGUUGUAGAUGGUCAAGUUCAUGUCUUUGAUUAGACCAAAGGAUCUUGAUUGUGACUCAGUGGUUGAAUCCAAAUCAUUAGAUUGGUCAAAUCAAAACUAGUUAAUCAAUUAGUGUCUAAGAUAAGUUUGAUAUUUCGACUAAUGGUUUUUAAUUGGGAGCGGCUUAUUUAGCCAUUUCGAUGGUCUCUAAGGCAAGCUUAGCAAACUCUCCCAUCGAUCUCACUUACCUGACCAAUUUGGUGAAUUAGAUUUUGAUUAGAUCGCUAAGUAAUUCGAGUUAGCCCAUGCCAUUAAGGUUAAUCAGUGUGAUUGAUCUAGGUGCUAGUUUAAUCAGCAUGACCUAAUCCGAUUCAGUGACUUGGUGAAGUCAGUGGGAGGAUUGUGGUCUACUGAUUGAUCUUUUCUUCUCUUCUCUCUUCUCAAAACUAAUUAAAUCUUCUAAAUUAUUAGGUCCCUAAAAUGAGCUAGUUAUGAUGAUAACUAGAUCAUAGCCUUAAAUUAAGGUGAGUGAUAAUGGGUCUGUUAUUUCUGAUUGACAUUGCAGGUGCCAUCCGUCAGGUUUUUUUUUUGAAUAAUAGAAUUAUCAUUCAUCAUAUGAUGACUCUGUUAAACUAUCUGAUGAUAGUUAGAUUGAUCGAGCCAUCUUUAGGUAUGAUCACUUAUUAGGUAGAAUCACUGAGUAGGCUUAUGUUAAUAGUUUGACCUAACCAAAACUUUCAAUGGAGGCCCAUCGCCUAUUGAAAUAAAAUCUGGGGCUAAAUUAAUUACUAGAAGUUGUUUGAAGAAAUAAUUGAUUGAGAAUCUAUCCAUAGGUGUAUAUGGGUUGACCGAGCUAUCCUCGGGCCUGUAUGUAGUCUAUAUGGAUUCUAGUACACGCUAAAAAAUUAAGGUAAUUCUUCGAAUUGAAGGUAGAGGCUAUCAAUUUGUAUAAAAUAGUGGAAGGACCUUUAGACUAAAGUCUAAGUCUUUAGAAUUAAUAAAUUUAUAUACUAAUUAGGCUUUGUAUUUUUCUUGUGUGUGUAGAUAUGGCCUCAAACUUGUCGCUCCGAUCACUGUUGGACAGUAAGAAUCUAAUCAGAUCGAAUUUUGAUAAUUGAUAUCGAAAGCUAAAGAUAGUCCUGGAGCACGAGCGGAUCCUUUAUAUGAUAACGGAUCCAGCACAUGAGGAGUCUUCUCCCAACGCCUGAGGUGUGGUCCGAGAUAUUUCUUUGAAGUGGCUCAACAAUCACACUACGAUUCGUUGCAUUAUGCGAGCCUCCAUGAAUGACUAGUUUAGUUGAAAAUUUGAAGAGGCUCAACCAGAAAAAAUGCUUCAAGUGUUGUGGGAUUUUUUUGGUACUCCUGAUAACGUUGAGUGGUACAAGACUAGUUGUGUCAUUUUUAACACCUGGAUGAGGGAGGGUGCAUCAGUUACCGAUCAUGUAUUAUAUAUGAUAGAACAUAUUGAAAAAUUAAGCAAACUUGGUUUUCUCUUGCACGAACAGCUGGGAAAAGAUGCGAUCCUAAAUUUUCUAUCCAAAUCCUACCUAUCCUUUCUCAAUCAUUUUAGAAUGACGAAGCCUGUAGUCAACUACCACGGUCUGUUGGGGUUGCUACAGACUUUUGAGAAAGAUCACCAUCUCCACAAGGAGAUGAUGAAUCUAGUUAGAGGAUCUUCUUUAGAUAGUCAUCGUCCCUUUAAGAAAGAAAAAAAAGAAAAAGAAGGUAUCAGGUGCUGGGAGUCAGAUCCAAAAACUCAAGUUAAAGGCUGAUCAAAGUCAGGCAGAGUGCUUCUUUUAUAAAAAGUAGGGUCACUAAAAGAGAAACUGUCCUCAGUAUAAAGCUUCUCUUGAUCCGAAUAGGCCAAAGAAGAAGCAGUAAUCGAUUGCUGAACAAAGUACUUAUGUGAUAAUACCUUGUAACUUCUCUCUUAUUGAUAUAAUGAUCUGGGUAUUGGAUAUCGGAAGCUCUAUUCAUAUUUACAAUUCAUUAUAGGAUCUUUAAGUCAAUAGGAGAUUUGGAGAAGGUGGGAGAUUCCUGAAUGUUGGAGAUGGAAGAUCGGUUCCAGUUCUAGUUUUAGAAAUCAUCAAGCUUGUAUUCGAAUCUUAGUACAUUGUUCUUGAUGAGUGUCAUUACUAUCCUAGUUUUCUUUUGAAUGUUAUUUCUGUAGGCCUUUUGGCCAAAUUUAAUUACGAAAUAUCAGAAAGAAAAUCUUUUGUGAUAUCAUUUUUAAUGGUGUUACAAUUUUACGUGGACAGUUGAACAAUAGUAUCUAUGUUGUAUCUAGGCCUAAUGUAAUAUACAUUUCAAAUAAAUGCCCUAAAAUAGAUGAUGUCACAGAUGCCUAUAUUUGGCAUUGUAGGCUAGGUCAUAUCAAUAAAAAUAGGAUAAACAGAUUAGCUCAAAAAAAAAUUUUUGAUAAAGGUGAUUAUGAAUCAUUACCUAUCUGUGAGUCUUGUUUGCUCGAAAAGAUGAUCAAGUCACAUUUUACUGAAAAAAGGGAACGAGCUAGUGAUGUGCUGGGUCUGAUACAUACUGAUAUAUGUGGACCCAUGAGCACAUAUGUCAAAGGAGGGUAUAGCUAUUUCAUUACAUUCACUGACGACCUAUCUAGGUAUGGGUACGUCUACUUGAUAAAACACACGUUUGAAUCAUUUAAAAUAUUCAAAUGGUUCCGUAAUUAAGUAGAGAAACAAACGAAAAAAAUAUUAAAACUCUUCGGUCUGAUCGAGGGGGUGAAUACCUCUCCAGUAAAUUUCUGACAUAUCUAAGAGAGAAUGAGAUUCUCUCCCAAUGGACUCCUCUAGGGACACCAUAGCAUAAUGGCAUCUCAGAAAGGAGGAAUCGAACCUUGUUGGACAUAAUUCGAUCCAUGAUGGGGUUUGCAACUCUGUCAAUUUUUUUUUGAGGAUAUACACUUGAAACAACCUAUCUUGUGCUCAAUAAUAUUUUUAGUAAGUUAGUUAGUAAGAUACUAUAUGAGAUAUGGUCAGGAUGUAGGCCGAACCUCUGUUAUUUCAGGGUCUGGGGGUGUCCGGCUUAUGUUAAAUGAUUACAAACUGACAAGCUCAGCUCUAGAUCUGAUAAAUAUAAUUUUAUAGGGUACCUCAAGAAAAUGAAGAGAUAUUACUUUUACCUGCCUGCUAAGUAAAAGAUAUUUGUCAGCAGUAAGACACACUUUUUAGAAAAAAAAUUUCUUAAUGAAGGAAUAAGUGCCUCUAAAAUCGAGCUUGACAAAGUUCGACAGAUAGA